This 1393-nucleotide ribosomal RNA is filed under the name metagenome. RNAcentral describes it as "bacterial LSU rRNA". It matches the Rfam family "Bacterial large subunit ribosomal RNA", at positions 1492 to 2925 of the family's 2925-position model. The record is from RNAcentral.
CUUUAGAUCGUUAAAGGGUGUAGAUAUAGGUUGUACAGGCAAAUCCGUACGACUUGUCGAACCUGAUAGUACAGCAAAGCUUCGGCAGCGCUGAUAGUGACCCUAAUCAAACCUCCGAGGAAAACCUCUAAGUUAUGUUUAAAGCAGCCCGUACCGCAAACCGACACAGGUGGGUGGGAUGAGUAUUCUAAGGCGCUCGGGUGAGCCGUGGAGAAGGAACUAGGCAAAUUAACGCUGUAACUUCGGGAUAAAGCGUACCGAUUUCGGUCGGUCUCAGUAAAAUGGUUCAACCAACUGUUUAGCAAAAACACAGGGCCCUGCAAAAUCGAAAGAUGACGUAUAGAGCCUGAUACCUGCCCGGUGCUGGAAGGUUAAGGAAGGAUGUUCGGCGCAAGCCAAAGCUUCUGACUGAAGCCCCAGUAAACGGCGGCCGUAACGAUAACGGUCCUAAGGUAGCGAAAUUCCUUGUCGGGUAAGUUCCGACCUGCACGAAUGGUCUAAUGAGUUGAACACUGUCUCCUCCACGAGCCCGGUGAAAUUGUAGUAUCGGUGAAGAUGCCGGUUACCCGUCACGGGACGGAAAGACCCCAUGAACCUUCACUACAACUUUGCAUUGAUUUUGAAUUUUUGAUGUGUAGGAUAGUUGGGAGACUUUGAAGUUGUGUCGCCAGGCAUGAUGGAGUCAACGUUGAAAUACCAACCUUUAAACAUUUAGAAUCUAAUCCCUUACGGGAAACAGUGCAUGGUGGGUAGUUUGACUGGGGUGGUCGCCUCCUAAAGUGUAACGGAGGCUUGCAAAGGUUCCUUCAGUACGGUUGGUAAUCGUACAUAGAGCGUAUUAGUAUAAGGGAGCUUGACUGUGAGACUUACAAGUCGAGCAGGGACGAAAGUCGGCUAAAGUGAUCCGGCGGUUCUGUAUGGAAGGGCCGUCGCUCAAAGGAUAAAAGGUACUCUGGGAUAACAGGCUGAUCUCACCCAAGAGCUCAUAUCGACGGUGAGGUUUGGCACCUCGAUGUCGGUUCGUCACAUCCUGGGGCUGGAGAAGGUCCCAAGGGUUCGGCUGUUCGCCGAUUAAAGUGGCACGUGAACUGGGUUCAGAACGUCGCAAGACAGUUCGGUCCCUAUCUGUGAUGGGCGCUAGUAAAUUGAGAGGACAUGACCUUAGUACGAGAGGACCGGGUCGUAUGUACCGCUGGUGUAUCUGUUGUGCCGCCAGGUGCAAUGCAGAGUAGCUAUGUACAGCCAGGAUAGACGCUGAAAGCAUCUAAGCGUGAAACCUUCCUUAAGAUGAGUUUACUUUUAAGGGUCGUCAAAGACUAUGACGUUGAUAGGCUAUAGGUAUAAAGGUGGUAACAUCAAAGCCGAGUAGUACUAAUUGCCCGUAAGCUUUAGU